RNAcentral lists this ribosomal RNA (484 nucleotides) under uncultured bacterium. Its description in RNAcentral is "partial 16S ribosomal RNA". It matches the Rfam family "Bacterial small subunit ribosomal RNA", at positions 30 to 507 of the family's 1533-position model. The record is from RNAcentral.
AUUGAACGCUGGCGGCAGGCCUAACACAUGCAAGUCGAGCGGAUGAAGGGAGCUUGCUCCUGGAUUCAGCGGCGGACGGGUGAGUAAUGCCUAGGAAUCUGCCUGGUAGUGGGGGAUAACGUCCGGAAACGGGCGCUAAUACCGCAUACGUCCUGAGGGAGAAAGUGGGGGAUCUUCGGACCUCCCGCUAUCAGAUGAGCCUAGGUCGGAUUAGCUAGUUGGUGGGGUAAAGGCCUACCAAGGCGACGAUCCGUAACUGGUCUGAGAGGAUGAUCAGUCACAAUGGAACUGAGACACGGUCCAGACUCCUACGGGAGGCAGCAGUGGGGAAUAUUGGAAAAUGGGCGAAAGCCUGAUCCAGCCAUGCCGCGUGUGUGAAGAAGGUCUUCGGAUUGUAAAGCACUUUAAGUUGGGAGGAAGGGCAGUAAGUUAAUACCUUGCUGUUUUGACGUUACCAACAGAAUAAGCACCGGCUAACUUCGUG